AUAUCUCUUGGCCCAAAAUAUUAUUGAGCACCUAAUUGUUGUGCUGCUCUAGAGAAUGUUCUGUAGAUUCUAUCUUGGCUUGCUUUCUAGUUGCAUUAAUCAUAUAUUUACCAGUUGGCAACUACUUUAGUGGCAUCCAUGGCUUGUGUUUUUUGAGCCUGCUAUUUUGUUGUACUGUAUCACUGACAAUCUAAUGAGAGAUUAUGCACGAAAUUAUCUCUGUAUUUUCAGGAUGUUGCGUCCAAAAUAAUGGCCUUUUCUCAACAAGGCCCGCACACUACAUGCAUAAUUUCAGCAAACGACGCUCUGUGCACGGCGACACUGCGUCAACCAGCAACCUCUGGUGGGAUAGUGACAUAUGAGAUAUUGGAUGAUCAAGAUGUCUUCUUUGCCAAUUUGCUAGGUGGCUGUCUUGGUUGCAUUGUCAAAUCUGCAACUCGAGCUAAGGGAGAUAUGGGGCUGCAGCGACAAAGGCAAAGCUGUUGCCUGUGCUUUGUCCAAUGUUACUCCUUUUAGUAAAUGUUUAGCUAGUACUCUCAGUUUUGUGGUUGUGCAAAGAGUUUGUUAUGUUGAUGCCAAAUAUUUGGAGAAGAUUUGGGUAGAUGGGUGCCAAAAGUCUACGCGUCUUGUGUACUUUGUUGUUAUGUUGAUGCAACACUAGGAUAUAUUUGUAUUUAGUGGAUUCAUGUUGGACUACUAAUAAUAUAUAUAAUCGUGUGUAUUAGGUCA
Molecule: long non-coding RNA, 729 nt
Organism: Sorghum bicolor (sorghum)
Lineage: Eukaryota; Viridiplantae; Streptophyta; Magnoliopsida; Poales; Poaceae
Exons: 2
Source: RefSeq, a predicted model, not a curated record